GCUCAUUCCUUCUAUUCUUCUCUCUAUACGUCGGUGUUCUAACCAAUAAUCACCGAGGCGAUAUUCUAUCCGAUCGAUUCGGGAACCAACUAACGAAUGCCAAAGUGCUGUACUUUGUGAAUUUUGUUAAACGAAUGCCAAAGUGCUGUCUGAAUAAGACUAUACUUUGUGAAUUUUGUUAAGGUUCUGAUCUCGUGACCAUCGUCAGGUUUGAUAUGGUUUUACACAAAUACGUAUUCCAUUCUAUUAAACUAUAUAUUUAACUAUCAGAAUACUCCCAACUAUACCCUUACAAUCAAACAAGCUGUUUAAUCAUUAGAAGGUUCAGAAUAAUAAAGUAUAUGCUUAAUUAUCAGAAGGAGUAGAAUCAAGAAGCUUGUUAAAUCAAUACUGCAUGCUUAUAAUGUGAGUCAUUCUCUUUUUACCAACUUGUUUUCAAAACCCUAUUUAUUUUCAAAAGUUAUAAUUACAGGGAUUAAGUAUUGGUCAUCUUGAAUCACUGGCAAGUGGGGUAUUGUGCACAUUACUAAUUUCUCACGAUUAGGUAAACAAACCUAACUGUGAUAAUCAUCACUACUUGGGUGAAAGGACCCAAUAGUGGUAUGACCAUCGUCACCAGGGUGUGACACGACGCUAGAUAAAAAUAAGAUAGAAGCCAUUGUAAUCGCUCUUAUGCUGUAAUUCAUAACAAUGUGUCUUUUUGUACAAACUGAAUGAACUCACCAGUAUUUCCUGCUGACCAAAUCUUUUUAAAACCCGUUUCAGCUAAUUACAGUAGAUUGGAACAAGAAUGAUGAUACAGCACCGAAAGGCUUAAAGAAGUGGCUUAUUUUAUCAAUUAAAUUAAAUUAAGAAAACCUGGUUUCAUAUAUUCCGGUUUAUCCCUUAUUAAAGCUACCUUUGUAAAACUUGGGUUUUAUCCCAUCUAGUAAAUAAAAUCCGGUGUUUUCUAAAACUCUGAUAUUUUUCCUAACUCACGGUCCUGAUGAAAUUUCUGCUGCAAUGUUUUUCUAAAUAACCACUGGUACCACUGAACUGGUUCGCGGCUCCCGAUUUCGUCCAGGGUGGGGUCGGGGGUCGUGACACUGAUCAUCAAGUUCGAAUAUCUCUGAAAUGGACUGUGGUGUGAUUUUGACUGUUUUACCCAUUAGGGAGGAAUUGAUGGCUGUGAUGUCUUCUCCUUGUGUUUCAAGAGUAGCAUUUUUCCAAAAUUCUCUCUGGGUUUUUAGGUAAAUCGGAGCAUCUGCUGUCAACAAAGUUUUGUACUUUGAAGAUGACAUAGUGUCAAUGAUGGAAUCGUAGAUAUCGAUGGUACCGGGUUUUGUGAGGAGACCCAGAUAAUUGUCAGGAGCUCUGUAUGGUAUUUCGAUGGGUGUGGCAAUCGAUGAAGGAUUUGAGAGAAAGAGAUGGAAACUGCUUUGAGAAAGGAAUUUUUGUGAAUUCGAUUCGACAGUAAAACCCUGUUUGGGGGUUUUGCUCAGGGUUUUAUAGUGAAAAAGUGAAUGCUGACGUGGCAGCGGUUACAAAAGAUCUGACCGCUAUGUACUAUCCACGUGCCAACCCUAGAUGAAAUGAAGGACAAGUGUUUUUAUGAAAGCAGUGGUUGCAACGGUAAUAAUGAAAGCAGUGGGUAAUUUUUAUGAUCAGUAGAUAGCAUAGCAGUGGAUAAAAACACUAAUUUUGAACAAAAGUGCUUAUCAAGGAAAGGAUAGAACAGGGGUUGACUUUCAGCAGUGGACAACAUUUUGAGCAGAACAGAUGUUUGAACAAAACAGUGGUUAUGGCAGUCUUUUAAGGAUUUAAUGAAAAAUUCAUUUUUAGCUAUUUUUAAGGAUGGAUUUUUGAUUUUCUGAAAACAUUUUAAUGCUUUUAUUUAUAGAAAAACAUGAUUUUGCCUGUUACUCCAUGUUUAGCAUGCCAAUCCUAGAGAUCAAGCUUUCAAAGGUGGAUGUGUCAAAUGCUUUGGUUAGCACAUCUGCCAGCUGAUGUUUAGUUGGAACAUGGUGUAGAGAAAUCAAACCUUUUUUGUAGCAAUCCCUCACAAAGUGAUGUCUGAUAUCAAUGUGUUUGGUGGUUGAAUGGGAAACUAGAUUUUUGAUG
Molecule: long non-coding RNA, 2100 nt
Filed under: Helianthus annuus (common sunflower)
Lineage: Eukaryota; Viridiplantae; Streptophyta; Magnoliopsida; Asterales; Asteraceae
Description: hypothetical non coding rna
Source: RNAcentral